GUAUAUCGACUUCACAUGGAGAUGAUAUUAAGAUUACGGUAAAGAUGAGUAUGCGUCCUAUUAGCUAGAUGGUGUGGUAACGGCACACCAUGGCUACGAUAGGUAGGGGCCCUGAGAGGGNGAUCCCCCACACUGGUACUGAGACACGGACCAGACUCCUACGGGAGGCAGCAGUGAGGAAUAUUGGACAAUGGAGGGGNCUCUGAUCCAGCCAUGCCGCGUGCAGGAAGACGGCCUAUGGGUUGUAAACUGCUUUUAUACAGGAAGAAACAGUUCUACGUGUAGAACCUUGACGGUACUGUAAGAAUAAGG
Molecule: ribosomal RNA, 312 nt
Filed under: uncultured bacterium
Lineage: Bacteria
Description: bacterial SSU rRNA
Rfam family: Bacterial small subunit ribosomal RNA
Source: RNAcentral